UACGAAGGGGGCUAGCGUUGUUCGGAAUUACUGGGCGUAAAGGGCGCGUAGGCUGUGCUGCAAGUCAGGCGUGAAAGGCCCGGGCUCAAGCUGGGAACGGCGCAUGAUACUGCGGCGCUUGAAGGCGGGAGAGGAUGGCGGAAUUCCCAGUGUAGAGGUGAAGUUCGUAGAUAUUGGGAAGAACACCGGUGGCGAAGGCGGCCAUCUGGCCCGUGAUUGACGCUGAGGCGCGAAAGCGUGGGGAG
Molecule: ribosomal RNA, 245 nt
Filed under: uncultured bacterium
Lineage: Bacteria
Description: partial 16S ribosomal RNA
Rfam family: Bacterial small subunit ribosomal RNA
Source: RNAcentral